Molecule: ribosomal RNA, 1288 nt
Filed under: Burkholderia mallei FMH
Lineage: Bacteria; Pseudomonadati; Pseudomonadota; Betaproteobacteria; Burkholderiales; Burkholderiaceae
Also listed under: 1 other name
Description: 16S ribosomal RNA
Source: RNAcentral
GUGGGCAAGCGGCACAUGCCGUCGCCGAUAGCGGCUGCCCGCUCGCCUUGCGACAAGAGGCGCCGCGGCCGUCGGCCAGCGACCGACCUCGACUUCACCAUCGCUACGCGGCGCGACCGACGCCCAUCGCGCCCACGCGGCAGCGGCAGCGGCAGCGGCAGCGGCAGCGGCAGCGGCAGCGGACAAUCAUCGCCCAUCCGGAUAACGACGAUACGCCCCGUGCCGCCUCAUCGGCACGCCGAACCGCCCCGCCCGCCGCCGGGCGCGCGCCCGCGUCAACCCGCCGCGAUCGGCGCGGUCGACGACAGCACCGCCGCCGCGAUGAACACGCCGAUCAUCGCGAGCGCCUCGAGAUGCAGCACGUUGCGAAACGUGUGCGCGUCCUCGGUCGACGCGGUGCGCCGCAGUCGCGGCAGCGCCGAGAAGCGGUUGAGCGCGGCGAGCACGAGCGCCAGCGCGACAAGCGCGAGUUUGAGCAACAACACGCGUCCCCACGUGCUGCCGUCGAGCGCGGCGAAAUCGCCGCCCGUGCCGCGGACCGUGUUGAGCGCGCCCGUGACGAUCACGAAGGCGAGCGCCGCGAUCGACGCGCCCGACAGCCGCUGCGCGAUGCGGAUCAUCGCGCCGCGCGCGAUCGACGAGCCGAGCGCCGGCAACACGGCCAUCCCGCCCGCGAUCACGAGCCCGCCCCAGACAGCCGUCGCGGCGACGUGCACGGUCUGCACACCGACCGCGGCCGAGAACGCGCCCGAAUCGGCCGCGUGCCCGAGCGACGCCUUGCCCGCCGCGACGACGAGCGUCGCGAGCGCGAGCAACGCCCCCGCGAGCGGGCCGCUCGGCCGCGCGAGCGCGACGGCGAGCAGCAGCAGCGCGCCGCCGCACGCGACGGCCCACGCAUGGCCGACGUGCGUCUGCGCGAGCACGGUCGGCAUCGCGCCGAACGCGCCGCGCAGGCCCGCGCCGCUCAUCGACGCGGCCUGAUAGACGAGCCAGCCGGCAUCGGCGAGAACGAGCACGGCCGCCGCGACGGCCAGCGAGCGCAGCGACUGGCGCCACGCGGGAUGCGACGGCGCGAUCACGCUGCGCGCGCCGUCGUUCGCGAGCCACGCGCCGAUGAACGCGGAGCCGAGCGCAACCGCGAACGCGACGUCGCCGAGCGCGGCGAGCGCCGCCUGGCCGAACCAGAGGCUGUCGAGCUUCAUCGCGCACCGCCCGCGCCGCGCGCACCGGAUGCGGCCCCGGCGCGCGGCGCGCGCAAGGCAUGAAAGGAUCGGCCGUUGUUUUCAGG